GCACCGCUGACGAGUUCCAAACAGGACGAAACAGCUGUCCAGUGA
Molecule: non-coding RNA, 45 nt
Filed under: Echinostoma caproni
Lineage: Eukaryota; Metazoa; Platyhelminthes; Trematoda; Plagiorchiida; Echinostomatidae
Source: RNAcentral